CCUACGGGAGGCAGCAGUGGGGAAUCUUGCACAAUGGAGGAAACUCUGAUGCAGCGAUGCCGCGUGAGUGAAGAAGGCCUUUGGGUUGUAAAGCUCUUUUGUAGGGGAAGAUAAUGACUGUACCCUAAGAAUAAGGUCCGGCUAACUUCGUGCCAGCAGCCGCGGUAAUACGAAGGGACCUAGCGUAGUUCGGAAUUACUGGGCGUAAAGCGCGCGUAGGCCGUUGAGUUAGUUAAUUGUGAAAUCCCAAAGCUUAACUUUGGAACUGCAAUUAAAACUGCUCGACUAGAGUUUGAUAGAGGAAAGCGGAAUACAUAGUGUAGAGGUGAAAUUCGUAGAUAUUAUGUAGAACACCAGUUGCGAAGGCGGCUUUCUGGAUCAACACUGACGCUGAGGCGCGAAAGUAUGGGUAGCAAAGAGGAUUAGAUACCCUCGUAGUCCAUACCAUAAACGAUGAUUGCUAGAUGUUGGAAAUUUAUUUCAGUAUCGCAGCUAACGCAUUAAGCAAUCCGCCUGGGGAGUACGACCGCAAGGUUAAACUCAAAGGAAUUGAACGG
RNAcentral lists this ribosomal RNA (557 nucleotides) under uncultured bacterium. RNAcentral describes it as "bacterial SSU rRNA". It matches the Rfam family "Bacterial small subunit ribosomal RNA", at positions 338 to 917 of the family's 1533-position model. The record is from RNAcentral.